RNAcentral lists this ribosomal RNA (384 nucleotides) under uncultured bacterium. RNAcentral's name for it is "bacterial SSU rRNA". It matches the Rfam family "Bacterial small subunit ribosomal RNA", at positions 28 to 416 of the family's 1533-position model. The record is from RNAcentral.
GACGAACGCUGGCGGCGUGCUUAACACAUGCAAGUCGAACGGUAAGGCCCUUCGGGGUACACGAGUGGCGAACGGGUGCGUAACACGUGAGCGACCUGCCCAGUUGCGGGGGAUAGCCGGCCCAACGGCCGGGUAAUACCGCAUACGCUUCCUUGGGGGCAUACCUGGGGAAGGAAACCUACGGGGCGAUUGGAGGGGCUCGCGGCCUAUCAGCUAGUUGGCGAGGUAACGGCUCACCAAGGCGAUGACGGGUAGCUGGUCUGAGAGGAUGGCCGGCCACAUUGGGACUGAGAGACGGCCCAGACUCCUACGGAGGCAGCAGUGGGGAAUCUUGCGCAAUGGCCGAAAGGCUGACGCAGCGACGCCGCGUGGAGGAUGACGCCC